AAAACUCCUCUUCCGGAGCCGGCCCCUUCCUCCCGCCGCCGGGCACGGCAGCAUUAUGAAAGCUGAACAUGUUCUCUGCCAGGAAGAUGUCAGGAGUUUGCAGAGCCAUCGGAUUCCAUCCCUUCAGAUCCCAUUCUGUAUCCAGGACUUCUCCAAACUUGGCUUUCGUGCCAGCCUGUCUUCCCCCAGAUCCGCUGGAUGUAGAGGAGCUGCAGCGCUUUGUGUCCAACUCCAAGAGGCUGUUUGUAAUGACUGGAGCUGGAAUCUCGACGGAAUCGGGGAUCCCAGAUUACCGCUCUGAAGGUGUGGGGCUCUACGCCAGGACAGACAGACGGCCCAUCCAGCAUGCUGAGUUUGUUCGUAGUGCCAGUGCCCGGCAGCGGUACUGGGCAAGGAACUUUGUGGGCUGGCCCCAGUUCUCCUCCCAUCAGCCAAACAGAGCACACCUGGUACUGAGAGACUGGGAAAAGCUGGGGAAGCUGCACUGGCUGGUGACCCAGAACGUGGAUGCCCUUCACGCCAAAGCCGGGAGCCAGCGCAUGACGGAAUUGCACGGCUGCACGCACAGGGUUUUCUGCCUGGACUGUGGAGACCAGAUCUUGCGCUCUGAGCUUCAGGAGCACUUUGAAGCUCUGAAUCCUACCUGGAAAGCUGAAGCAUUCGGUGUGGCUCCGGAUGGGGAUGUCUUCCUGACGGAUGAGCAAGUGCGUAAUUUCCAAGUCCCAGCCUGCCGUAAAUGUGGUGGAAUCCUGAAGCCUGACGUGACAUUCUUUGGAGAUACGGUGAGCCGGGAAAAAGUGGAUUUUGUGCACCAACGUCUGGCAGAAUCAGACUCCAUGCUGGUGGCAGGAUCCUCUAUGCAGGUAUACUCUGGUUACAGGUUUGCUCUCGCUGCCCGGGAGAAGCAGCUGCCAAUUGCAAUCCUCAACAUUGGGCCCACAAGGUUGGACCACUUUGCUUCCUUAAAACUGAAUUCCCGCUGUGGAGAGCUGCUGCCUUUGAUUGUUGUAAAUGACCCAACGAGCUGAGCUUCAGUAGCUAUCAGGAGUAAAAUUAUUUCUACAAGAAAACUACAAGGAACGAUCUGCAAAUUCAGAGGACCUGAUCCAACACCAUUGCCUUUGCAACGGACAAUUCAAAAGCUCUGCCUGGUUGAAAAGAUCCAGCUAAUCCUAAUCAAAACUGCUGUUUAAAAUAAUCAAUUCUAUUUAUAAAGCAGCUUCUUCCCUCCAGUCCUGCAGGACUCAAUCUCAAAAAGGGAAAACUUUGAUGUAAGAGGCAGCUGCGAGAUGCAGUGCGUGGCCCCCGAUGACACCAGGAGAGGGCAGCAAGACUCCCACAUGGCAACCUGUCCAGUUUUUUUCCACUGAAGCCAUCUCCACUUACCAGGAAAUGGGAUGAUGAUGAAAAAAGUACUUUUGUGCCUUCCCUUGCCAUUGUUAACAGUGCCUUUUCAUUCACUGGGACGGGAUAAUCAGUCUACCAUAUCUGAGAACAAAAUACCUUUCUUAUAAAUGUCCCCAGAGAAGAACGAGGGACACAGAUUUUGACCGAGUAACUUGAUGCAACAGCAAAGGAGGGCGAUGUGGAAAACCACAAUAUCUGCUGGAGGAUCCAGUACCACUAGUGGGCAACUGUGGAGUGUGCAGAGGAAAAGGAGGCAAGAGGAACUGUAGUUGUCAUUAAAAAAAAAAAAAGCAGCUGAACAAGAAUACUGCUCUUCUACAAGAUUAUUUAGAAGCACAGACUAUAAGGCUGACGCCUUCUAGCACGGAGGCAAAGUUAAUAUUUCUCUCAACUGCCAGUUGACAAGCUAAACUGCACACUAUCUAUCUGCACCCUUUAAAAAUUAUAUAUUGUUGAGAUGCCAGAGGAGUUAUUUUAAGCUAAUCUGACCAGAACUGCUUCCAGUGUGGCUGCUACAUUUUCCGGAAUGCAUUUUUUUGAAGAUGUUACUUAAUUAAUGAAUAGCUAAGUAGUGAAUUAAAAUUGUUUACAAGACUGA
Calidris pugnax (ruff) is the source of this 2005-nucleotide RNA transcript. It is a transcript of the gene named sirtuin 4, with no coding region annotated. The transcript has 6 exons. The record is from RefSeq and is a predicted model, not a curated record. Lineage: Eukaryota; Metazoa; Chordata; Aves; Charadriiformes; Scolopacidae.